Molecule: long non-coding RNA, 360 nt
Organism: Camponotus floridanus (Florida carpenter ant)
Lineage: Eukaryota; Metazoa; Arthropoda; Insecta; Hymenoptera; Formicidae
Exons: 3
Source: RefSeq, a predicted model, not a curated record
AAACAUGUCCCAUUCGAAUUUUCUAGAAAACCACGAAGUCUGGAUUAUCUUAAAUUGUGGAAAGCAACGGAAUUAAGGCAAUUCUUAUUAUAUUUAGGACCUGUAGUACUUAAAGCACUUGUGCAAGAAAAGUUUUGGUCCUUGUCAUGAUGUACUUUAUUGUUGAAUUUGGAGACAAUACAAUAGCAAUGAUGCCAGAGAAUUGGUUAAAUAAAGAUAAAACAAUGACAAAGUGGCCUCCUUAUAAGGAUGAUAAAAAAAUAGUGCUAGCUAUUGACAAAAUGGAACUUUCUACAUCGGAAUGGGGUUCCUUUGACAUAUCGAGGAUUAUUAGUACAGCUGAUUGUUAUGAAAUCGCAG